CCUACGUGUAGCUGCAGUGAGGAAUAUUGGUCAAUGGGCUUACGCCUGAACCAGCCAAGUCGCGUGAGGGAAGACUGCCCUAUGGGUUGUAAACCUCUUUUGUCAGGGAGCAAAGCCUGCUACGUGUAGCCUUACUGAUAGUACCUGAAGAAAACGCAUCGGCUAACUCCGUGCCAUCCGCCGCGGUAAUCCGGGGGGUCCGAGCGUUAUCCGGAUUUCGUGGAUUUAAAGGGUUCGUACGCGGCCUUUUAAUUCAGCGGGGAAAGUCUGUGGCUCAACCAUAGAAGUGCCGUUGAAACUGGGAGGCUUGAGUAUGUUUGAGGCAGGCGGAAGGCGUGGUGUAGCGGUGAAAUGCUUAGAUAUCACGCAGAACCCCGAUUGCGAAGGCAGCCUGCCAAGCCAUGACUGACGCUGAUGCACGAAAGCGUGGGGAUCAAACAGGAUUAGAUACCCCAGUAGUC
Molecule: ribosomal RNA, 461 nt
Filed under: uncultured bacterium
Lineage: Bacteria
Description: partial 16S ribosomal RNA
Rfam family: Bacterial small subunit ribosomal RNA
Source: RNAcentral